CCUACGGGUGCAGCAGUGAGGAAUAUUGGUCAAUUGACCAGAGUCUGAACCAGCCCAGUCGCCUGAAGGAUGACUGCCCUAUGGGUUGUAAACUUCUUUUAUAAAGGAAUAAAACGAGGCACGUGUGCCUUUUUGCAUGUACUUUAUGAAUAAGGAUCAGCUAACUCCGUGACAGCAGCCGCGGUAAUACGGAGGAUGCGAGCGUUACCCGGAUUUAUUGGGUGUAAAGGGCACGUAGAUGGGUUGUUAAGUCAGUUGUGAAAGUUUGCGGCUCAACCGUAAAAUUGCAACUGAUACUGGCAGUCUUGAGUCUAGUAGAGGGGGGCAGAAUUCGAGGUGUAGCGGUGAAAUGCUUAGAUAUCACGAGGAACCCCGGUUGCGAAGGCAGCUUCCUAAACUGAGACUGACAUUGAUGCUCGAAAGUGUGGGUAUCAAACAGGAUUAGAUACCCGUGUAGUC
This 459-nucleotide ribosomal RNA is filed under the name uncultured bacterium. RNAcentral's name for it is "partial 16S ribosomal RNA". It matches the Rfam family "Bacterial small subunit ribosomal RNA", at positions 338 to 795 of the family's 1533-position model. The record is from RNAcentral.